AAGUGAUGAAAUCACCUAAAAAAGCUGGAAUUACCGGCAGAUUGUGUGGUGGUGAACCUACGGUUUUCUGAAG
Molecule: small nucleolar RNA, 73 nt
Organism: Balaenoptera musculus (blue whale)
Lineage: Eukaryota; Metazoa; Chordata; Mammalia; Artiodactyla; Balaenopteridae
Source: Ensembl